GCUGGCGCAUCUCAGUCGGUUAGAGGCUGUGUGCACAUAACAGAUUCAAGGGGAGUCGGUGGUUCGAGUCCAUACGCCAGCA
This 82-nucleotide transfer RNA is filed under the name Dialister sp. RNAcentral's name for it is "tRNA-Ser". Lineage: Bacteria; Bacillati; Bacillota; Negativicutes; Veillonellales; Veillonellaceae. The record is from RNAcentral.